ACAUCAACAUCGCAGGACUCAAAUAUGUCGCUGUCGGAAAGCGGCUGAAACGUGAACGUGAAACCACCACGGCGCUUGGGGAAACCUUUGAGGAAAUUCUAGGGUUGCACGCACCGGUACAGUGGCUACAGCUGGAGCGCUAGCACAGUUCUAGCCACCGUAUGGCUGAGCCUGAUAGCAUACUGCCGUCGAGGGACCCGGGGCGAUUUCGCGCAGAGGUGGGGACCAAUGAUGAAGUUGAUCUUGGGACUCUUUCAAGGGAUGGCUGGAAUCGCCCCACUUUUCUAAAAACCGUGUUGCUGCUUGACAGCUCUGCCUUAAAAGGGAAACUAAAGAGAAAGCAUUGCCACUGCCCCAGUUGCUGGACCAAUUGUUCCGCUCGGACAUUCAAAUUGAGUGCAACAAUUCCCGAGACUCUACGGCAGAGGCAAACGACAACGGCAUAUCUGUGGAUUUAGUGCCAGCUGCGCUGCCCGAUGAGGGUGCCAGUACAAGCGAAGCCAGCGAGCGCUUGCGCCGUAACAGAUGCACAUAUUCUUGUCCAUAUUGCCCUUACGUUGCACGGAGUUCACACUUGACUACACACAUGCGUGUCCAUACUGGUGAGAGACCGUUCAGGUGCAACGUCUGUUUAGCAUGCUUCACCACGAAAUCAAACCUUUCACGGCACUUGAGGGCUCAACCAUGUGGGAAAUUUCCAUUAUCUAUCUGCAACUAGCAGUUCAACACCAAGCAGCAUCUUCGUGACCGUUUUCAUGAACUUUUGCAAUUCAUAACCACUCUUCCAUACAUUCAGGUGUUCUACCCUGCCUGUGUCCUGUGUGCUUGUGAUCCUUCUGACAGAAGAGCUUUCUAUUUAACCACAUGCAUCUGAUGCACAAGAAGUGAAUAGCUUGACGUGAUCCAACUCCUUGAAACAAGGUGGACUGUAUUUGGUGGCAGCAAGGCAUGCUCACACAGUCAUCAACUGCGUGUGUGUGUGGAUAGCAAAGAAGGCACAAGUUUAGAACAAGCAUUUCAGUCGUACGUUUGUGGGGUGGUAGUGUAUUUGCAUAAGAUUCCAAAAAGUAACUUCCGAAACCGCUAAUCAAAGAAACAUUUAUUAGAAAACCGCUUAUGUGAAGAAGUGUGGUACUUUAAGCUGUGCUGUAAGGACAUCUUCGAUUGUAGUGCAAUGUUUUACUGUGCCAGGCAGUUAUACAGUAGGAAACGGUCACUGUUUCUGUAAUUUCAUAAGUCCGUUACACUGACUGACACAGAUGUCCCUUAUAUUGUGGCCGUUUGUAACUUGCGUUUGUGGGAAGAAUGUGUUUUGCCAUGUGGUGGCAUUGAUGUCAAUUUUGAAUUGCACCACUUUUAAAGUUCUGUGUACACAUGCACAAGAGAUAAAAAUGGAUGCCUGUCAAAGCCAAAGUGUUUUCCAUUGGCGUGCCAACAUUAAUAAAAAGCACGCUGUGCUGUGAGGAAAGUGUUGAAAGCAUAUUGAAAGAGUUUCACUGAAACAUUCUCUGAACUUAUGAAAGAAGACUGGGAAAUAAAGCAAAGAUUUUAAAGCGUG
Dermacentor albipictus is the source of this 1558-nucleotide long non-coding RNA. RefSeq lists it as uncharacterized. NCBI's taxonomy places the organism in Eukaryota, Metazoa, Arthropoda, Arachnida, Ixodida, Ixodidae. The record is from RefSeq and is a predicted model, not a curated record.